This 365-nucleotide unclassified non-coding RNA is filed under the name uncultured Tulostoma. RNAcentral's name for it is "sequence contains ITS1". The stretch from base 1 to 105 matches the Rfam family "5.8S ribosomal RNA", at positions 50 to 154 of the family's 154-position model. The record is from RNAcentral. Lineage: Eukaryota; Fungi; Basidiomycota; Agaricomycetes; Agaricales; Agaricaceae.
GAAAUGCGAUAAGUAAUGUGAAUUGCAGAAUUCAGUGAAUCAUCGAAUCUUUGAACGCACCUUGCGCUCCUUGGUAUUCCGAGGAGCAUGCCUGUUUGAGUGUCAUUUAAUUCUCAACCCCUCCAGCCUUUUUGGCUUGGCUUGGUGGCUUGGAUGGUGGGGGAUUUAUGUGCGGGCCUCUUCAAAGGUCGGCUCCCCUGAAAUGCAUUAGCGGAACCGUUUGCGGGAACUGUCACUGGUGUGAUAACUAUCUACACCGACGACAACUGCUCUCUGGGUAACUUCCGCCUCGAAUUGUCCGACCUUGGACAACGAUAUGUCGAAUCCUUGACCUCAAAUCAGGUAGGACUACCCGCUGAACUUAA